GGGGGGGGGGGGGGGGGGGGGGGGGGGGGGGGGGGCGGGGGGGGGGGGGGGGGCGGCGCUGGUGGCGGGGGGCGAGCGGGUGGGUAAUGCGUCGGAGCGUGCCCGGUCGGGGGGGGUAACGUCGCGAAAGGUACGCUAAUACCGCAUACGAUCUGGGGCUGCAAGCGGGGGACCUUCGGGCCUCGCGCGAUCGGAGCGUCCGAUGUCCGAUGAGGUAGUUGGUGGGGUAAAGGCCUACCAAGCCGACGAUCUGUAGCUGGUCUGAGAGGACGACCAGCCACACUGGGACUGAGACACGGCCCAGACUCCUACGGGAGGCAGCAGUGGGGAAUUUUGGACAAUGGGCGCAAGCCUGAUCCAGCCAUUCCGCGUGCAGGACGAAGGCCUUCGGGUUGUAAACUGCUUUUGUACGGAACGAAAAGGCUCUGGCUAAUACCUGGGGCUCAUGACGGUACCGUAAGAAUAAGCACCGGCCAACUACGUG
RNAcentral lists this ribosomal RNA (484 nucleotides) under uncultured bacterium. Its description in RNAcentral is "partial 16S ribosomal RNA". It matches the Rfam family "Bacterial small subunit ribosomal RNA", at positions 39 to 507 of the family's 1533-position model. The record is from RNAcentral.